UACGAAGGGGGCUAGCGUUGUUCGGAAUUACUGGGCGUAAAGCGCACGUAGGCGGAUAUUUAAGUCAGGGGUGAAAUCCCAGAGCUCAACUCUGGAACUGCCUUUGAUACUGGGUAUCUUGAGUAUGGAAGAGGUAAGUGGAAUUGCGAGUGUAGAGGUGAAAUUCGUAGAUAUUCGCAGGAACACCGGUGGCGAAGGCGGCGACCUGGUCCAUUACUGACGCUGAGGCGCGACAGCGUGGGGAGCAAACAGG
Molecule: ribosomal RNA, 253 nt
Filed under: uncultured bacterium
Lineage: Bacteria
Description: partial 16S ribosomal RNA
Rfam family: Bacterial small subunit ribosomal RNA
Source: RNAcentral